RNAcentral lists this ribosomal RNA (253 nucleotides) under uncultured bacterium. RNAcentral describes it as "partial 16S ribosomal RNA". It matches the Rfam family "Bacterial small subunit ribosomal RNA", at positions 524 to 776 of the family's 1533-position model. The record is from RNAcentral.
UACGAAGGGGGCGAGCGUUGUUCGGAAUCACUGGGCGUAAAGGGCGCGUAGGCGGCCCUCCUUGUCGCGUGUGAAAGCCCCGGGCUCAACCUGGGAACGGCGCGCGAGACGGGGGGGCUGGAGUUCGGGAGAGGAGCGUGGAAUUCCUGGUGUAGCGGUGAAAUGCGCAGAUAUCAGGAGGAACACCGGUGGCGAAGGCGGGUCUCUGGGCCGAUACUGACGCUGAGGAGCGAAAGCGUGGGGAGCGAACAGG